This 253-nucleotide ribosomal RNA is filed under the name uncultured bacterium. Its description in RNAcentral is "partial 16S ribosomal RNA". It matches the Rfam family "Bacterial small subunit ribosomal RNA", at positions 524 to 776 of the family's 1533-position model. The record is from RNAcentral.
UACGUAGGGUCCGAACGUUAUCCGGAAUUAUUGGGCGUAAAGAGUUCGUAGGUGGUUUUGUAAGUUGGGUAUUAAAUCUAUCGGCUCAACCGAUAAACUGUACUCAAAACUGCAUUACUUGUGGUUUGCAGGGGCAGAUGGAAUUCAUGGUGUAGCAGUGGAAUGCGUAGAUAUCAUGAAGAACACCAAUGGCGAAGGCAGUCUGCUAGGCUCAUCCAGACACUGAGGAACGAAAGCGUGGGUAGCGAACGGG